AAUGUGCUGGAGUGUGGUCGUCCUCAAUGUGUUGGAGUCAGUGGCCAUUAUAUGUGUUGAAGUGUGGUGGUCCUCAAUGUGUUGGAGUCAGUGGUCCUCAAUGUGUUGGAGUGUGGUGGUCCUCAAUGUGUUGGAAUCAGUGAUGGUCCUCAAUGUGUUGGAGUCAGUGGUCCUCAAUGUGUUUGAGUGUGGUGGUCCUCAAUGUGUUGGAGUCAGGGAUGGUCCUCAAUGUGUUUGAGUCAGUGGUCCUCAAUGUGUUGGAGUGUGGUGGUCCUCAAUGUGUUGGAGUCAGUGGUCCUCAAUGUGUUGGAGUGUGGUGGUCCUCAAUGUGUUAGAGUCAGUGGUCCUCAAUGUGUUGGAGUCAGUGGUCCUCAAUGUGUUGGAGUCAGUGGUCCUCAAUGUGUUGGAGUGUGGUGGUCCUCAAUGUGUUGGAGUCAAUGGAUCUCAAUGUGUUGGAGUCAGUGGUCCUCAAUGUGUUGGUGUGUGGUGGUCCUCAAUGUGUGGGAGUCUGUGGUCCUCAAUGUGUUGGAGUCAGUGGUCCUCUAUGUGUUGGAGUCAGUGGUCCUCAAUGUGCUGGAGUGUGGUCGUCCUCAAUGUGCUGGAGUGUGGUCGUCCUCAAUGUGUUGGAGUCAGUGGCCAUUAUAUGUGUUGAAGUGUGGUGGUCCUCAAUGUGUUGGAGUCAGUGGUCCUCAAUGUGUUGGAGUGUGGUGGUCCUCAAUGUGUUGGAAUCAGUGAUGGUCCUCAAUGUGUUGGAGUCAGUGGUCCUCAAUGUGUUUGAGUGUGGUGGUCCUCAAUGUGUUGGAGUCAGGGAUGGUCCUCAAUGUGUUUGAGUCAGUGGUCCCUCAAUGUGUUGGAGUGUGGUGGUCCUCAAUGUGUUGGAGUGUGAUGGUCCUCAAUGUGCUGGAGUGUGGUCAGCCUCAAUGUGUUGGAGUCAGUGGUCCUCAAUGUGUUGGAGUGUGGUGGUCCUCAAUGUGUUGGAGUCAGUGGUCCUCAAUGUGUUGGAGUCAGUGGUCCUCAAUGUGUUGGAGUGUGGUGGUCCUCAAUGUGUUGGAGUCAGUGGUCCUCAAUGUGUUGGAGUGUGGUGGUCCUCAAUGUGUUGGAGUGUGAUGGUCCUCAAUGUGUUGGAGUCAGUGAUCCUCAUUGUGUUGGAGUCAGUGGUCCUCAAUGUGUUGGAGUCAGUGGUCCUAAAUGUGUUGGAGUCAGUGGUCCUCAAAGUGUUGGAGUGUGGUGGUCCUCAAUGUGUUGGAGUCAGUGGUCCUCAAUGUGUUGGAGUGUGGUGGUCCUCAAUGUGUUAGAGUCAGUGGUCCUCAAUGUGUUGGAGUGUGGUGGUCCUCAAUGUGUUGGAGUCAGUGGUCCUCAAUGUGUUGGAGUCAGUGGUCCUCAAUGUGUUGGAGUCAGUGGUCCUCAAUGUGUUGAAGUCAGUGGAUCUCAAUUUGUUGGGGUGUGGUGGUCCUCAAUGUGUUGGAGUCAGUGGAUCUCAAUGUGUUGGAGUCAGUGGUCCUCAAUGUGUUGGAGUGUGGUGGUCCUCAAUGUGUUGGAGUGUGGUGGUCCUCAAUGUGUUGGAGUUAGUGGUCUUCAAUGUGUUGGAGUCAGUGGUCCUCAAUGUGUUGGAGUCAGUGGUCCUCAAUGUGUUGGAGUGUGGUGGUCCUCAAUGUGUUGGAGUCAGUGGUCCUCAAUGUGUUGGAGUGUGGUGGUCCUCAAUGUGUUGGAGUCAGUGGAUCUCAAUGUGUUGGAGUCAGUGGUCCUCAAUGUGUUGGUGUGUGGUGGUCCUCAAUGUGUGGGAGUCAAUGGAUCUCAAUGUGUUGGAGUCAGUGGUCCUCAAUGUGUUGGUGUGUGGUGGUCCUCAAUGUGUGGGAGUCUGUGGUCCUCAAUGUGUUGGAGUCAGUGGUCCUCUAUGUGUUGGAGUCAGUGGUCCUCAAUGUGCUGGAGUGUGGUCGUCCUCAAUGUGCUGGAGUGUGGUCGUCCUCAAUGUGUUGGAGUCAGUGGCCAUUAUAUGUGUUGAAGUGUGGUGGUCCUCAAUGUGUUGGAGUCAGUGGUCCUCAAUGUGUUGGAGUGUGGUGGUCCUCAAUGUGUUGGAAUCAGUGAUGGUCCUCAAUGUGUUGGAGUCAGUGGUCCUCAAUGUGUUUGAGUGUGGUGGUCCUCAAUGUGUUGGAGUCAGGGAUGGUCCUCAAUGUGUUUGAGUCAGUGGUCCCUCAAUGUGUUGGAGUGUGGUGGUCCUCAAUGUGUUGGAGUGUGAUGGUCCUCAAUGUGCUGGAGUGUGGUCAGCCUCAAUGUGUUGGAGUCAGUGGUCCUCAAUGUGUUGGAGUGUGGUGGUCCUCAAUGUGUUGGAGUCAGUGGUCCUCAAUGUGUUGGAGUCAGUGGUCCUCAAUGUGUUGGAGUGUGGUGGUCCUCAAUGUGUUGGAGUCAGUGGUCCUCAAUGUGUUGGAGUGUGGUGGUCCUCAAUGUGUUGGAGUGUGAUGGUCCUCAAUGUGUUGGAGUCAGUGAUCCUCAAUGUGUUGGAGUCAGUGGUCCUCAAUGUGUUGGAGUCAGUGGUCCUAAAUGUGUUGGAGUCAGUGGUCCUCAAUGUGUUGGAGUGUGGUGGUCCUCAAUGUGUUGGAGUCAGUGGUCCUCAAUGUGUUGGAGUGUGGUGGUCCUCAAUGUGUUAGAGUCAGUGGUCCUCAAUGUGUUGGAGUGUGGUGGUCCUCAAUGUGUUGGAGUCAGUGGUCCUCAAUGUGUUGGAGUCAGUGGUCCUCAAUGUGUUGGAGUCAGUGGUCCUCAAUGUGUUGAAGUCAGUGGAUCUCAAUUUGUUGGGGUGUGGUGGUCCUCAAUGUGUUGGAGUCAGUGGAUCUCAAUGUGUUGGAGUCAGUGGUCCUCAAUGUGUUGGAGUGUGGUGGUCCUCAAUGUGUUGGAGUGUGGUGGUCCUCAAUGUGUUGGAGUUAGUGGUCUUCAAUGUGUUGGAGUCAGUGGUCCUCAAUGUGUUGGAGUCAGUGGUCCUCAAUGUGUUGGAGUGUGGUGGUCCUCAAUGUGUUGGAGUCAGUGGUCCUCAAUGUGUUGGAGUGUGGUGGUCCUCAAUGUGUUGGAGUCAGUGGAUCUCAAUGUGUUGGAGUCAGUGGUCCUCAAUGUGUUGGUGUGUGGUGGUCCUCAAUGUGUGGGAGUCUGUGGUCCUCAAUGUGUUGGAGUCAGUGGUCCUCAAUGUGUUGGAGUGUGGUGGUCCUCAAUGUGUUGGAGUCAGUGGUCCUCAAUGUGUUGGAGUCAGUGGUCCUCAAUGUGUUGGAGUGUGGUGGUCCUCAAUGUGUUGGAGUGUGGUGGUCCUCAAUGUGUUGGAGUCAGUGGUCCUCAAUGUGUUGGAGUGUGGUGGUCCUCAAUGUGUUGGAGUCAGUGGUCCUCAAUGUGUUGGAGUGUGGUGGUCCUCAAUGUGUUAGAGUCAGUGGUCCUCAAUGUGUUGGAGUGUGGUGGUCCUCAAUGUGUUGGAGUCAGGGAUGGUCCUCAAUGUGUUGGAGUCAGUGGUCCUCAAUGUGUUGGAGUGUGGUGGUCCUCAAUGUGUUGGAGUGUGGUGGUCCUCAAUGUGCUGGAGUGUGGUCAGCCUCAAUGUGUUGGAGUCAGUGGUCCUCAAUGUGUUGGAGUGUGGUGGUCCUCAAUGUGUUGGAGUCAGUGGUCCUCAAUGUGUUUGAGUGUGGUGGUCCUCAAUGUGUUGGAGUCAGUGGUCCUCAAUGUGUUGGAGUCAGUGGUCCUCAAUGUGUUGGAGUGUGGUGGUCCUCAAUGUGUUGGAGUGUGAUGGUCCUCAAUGUGUUGGAGUGUGAUGGUCCUCAAUGUGUUGGAGUCAGUGGUCCUCAAUGUGUUGGAGUGUGGUGGUCCUCAAUGUGUUGGAGUCAGUGGUCCUCAAUGUGUUGGAGUGUGGUGGUCCUCAAUGUGUUGGAGUCAGUGGUCCUCAAUGUGUUGGAGUCAGUGGUCCUCAAUGUGUUGGAGUCAGUGGUCCUCAAUGUGUUGAAGUCAGUGGAUCUCAAUUUGUUGGGGUGUGGUGGUCCUCAAUGUGUUGGAGUCAGUGGAUCUCAAUGUGUUGGAGUCAGUGGUCCUCAAUGUGUUGGAGUGUGGUGGUCCUCAAUGUGUUGGAGUGUGGUGGUCCUCAAUGUGUUGGAGUUAGUGGUCUUCAAUGUGUUGGAGUCAGUGGUCCUCAAUGUGUUGGAGUCAGUGGUCCUCAAUGUGUUGGAGUGUGGUGGUCCUCAAUGUGUUGGAGUCAGUGGUCCUCAAUGUGUUGGAGUGUGGUGGUCCUCAAUGUGUUGGAGUCAGUGGAUCUCAAUGUGUUGGAGUCAGUGGUCCUCAAUGUGUUGGUGUGUGGUGGUCCUCAAUGUGUGGGAGUCUGUGGUCCUCAAUGUGUUGGAGUCAGUGGUCCUCAAUGUGUUGGAGUGUGGUGGUCCUCAAUGUGUUGGAGUCAGUGGUCCUCAAUGUGUUGGAGUCAGUGGUCCUCAAUGUGUUGGAGUGUGGUGGUCCUCAAUGUGUUGGAGUCAGUGGUCCUCAAUGUGUUGGAGUGUGGUGGUCCUCAAUGUGUUAGAGUCAGUGGUCCUCAAUGUGUUGGAGUGUGGUGGUCCUCAAUGUGUUGGAGUCAGUGGUCCGCAAUGUGUUGGAGUCAGUGGUCCUCAAUGUGUUGGAGUGUGGUGGUCCUCAAUGUGUUGGAGUGUGGUGGUCCUCAAUGUGUUAGAGUUAGUGGUCCUCAGUGUGUUGGAGUGUGGUGGUCCUCAAUGUGUUGGAGUCAGUGGAUCACAAUGUGUUGGAGUCAGUGGUCCUCAAUGUGUUGGUGUGUGGUGGUCCUCAAUGUGUGGGAGUCUGUGGUCCUCAAUGUGUUGGAGUCAGUGGUCCUCUAUGUGUUGGAGUCAGUGGUCCUCAAUGUGCUGGAGUGUGGUCGUCCUCAAUGUGCUGGAGUGUGGUCGUCCUCAAUGUGUUGGAGUCAGUGGCCAUUAUAUAUGUUGAAGUGUGGUGGUCCUCAAUGUGUUGGAGUCAGUGGUCCUCAAUGUGUUGGAGUGUGGUGGUCCUCAAUGUGUUGGAAUCAGUGAUGGUCCUCAAUGUGUUGGAGUCAGUGGUCCUCAAUGUGUUGGAGUGUGGUGGUCCUCAAUGUGUUGGAGUCAGGGAUGGUCCUCAAUGUGUUGGAGUCAGUGGUCCUCAAUGUGUUGGAGUGUGGUGGUCCUCAAUGUGUUGGAGUGUGGUGGUCCUCAAUGUGCUGGAGUGUGGUCAGCCUCAAUGUGUUGGAGUCAGUGGUCCUCAAUGUGUUGGAGUGUGGUGGUCCUCAAUGUGUUGGAGUCAGUGGUCCUCAAUGUGUUUGAGUGUGGUGGUCCUCAAUGUGUUGGAGUCAGUGGUCCUCAUUGUGUUGGAGUCAGUGGUCCUCAAUGUGUUGGAGUGUGGUGGUCCUCAAUGUGUUGGAGUGUGAUGGUCCUCAAUGUGUUGGAGUGUGAUGGUCCUCAAUGUGUUGGAGUCAGUGGUCCUCAAUGUGUUGGAGUGUGGUGGUCCUCAAUGUGUUGGAGUCAGUGGUCCUCAAUGUGUUGGAGUGUGGUGGUCCUCAAUGUGUUAGAGUCAGUGGUCCUCAAUGUGUUGGAGUCAGUGGUCCUCAAUGUGUUGGAGUCAGUGGUCCUCAAUGUGUUGGAGUGUGGUGGUCCUCAAUGUGUUGGAGUCAAUGGAUCUCAAUGUGUUGGAGUCAGUGGUCCUCAAUGUGUUGGUGUGUGGUGGUCCUCAAUGUGUGGGAGUCUGUGGUCCUCAAUGUGUUGGAGUCAGUGGUCCUCUAUGUGUUGGAGUCAGUGGUCCUCAAUGUGCUGGAGUGUGGUCGUCCUCAAUGUGCUGGAGUGUGGUCGUCCUCAAUGUGUUGGAGUCAGUGGCCAUUAUAUGUGUUGAAGUGUGGUGGUCCUCAAUGUGUUGGAGUCAGUGGUCCUCAAUGUGUUGGAGUGUGGUGGUCCUCAAUGUGUUGGAAUCAGUGAUGGUCCUCAAUGUGUUGGAGUCAGUGGUCCUCAAUGUGUUUGAGUGUGGUGGUCCUCAAUGUGUUGGAGUCAGGGAUGGUCCUCAAUGUGUUUGAGUCAGUGGUCCUCAAUGUUUUGGAGUGUGGUGGUCCUCAAUGUGUUGGAGUGUGGUGGUCCUCAAUGUGCUGGAGUGUGGUCAGCCUCAAUGUGUUGGAGUCAGUGGUCCUCAAUGUGUUGGAGUGUGGUGGUCCUCAAUGUGUUGGAGUCAGUGGUCCUCAAUGUGUUGGAGUCAGUGGUCCUCAAUGUGUUUGAGUGUGGUGGUCCUCAAUGUGUUGGAGUCAGUGGUCCUCAAUGUGUUGGAGUCAGUGGUCCUCAAUGUGUUGGAGUGUGGUGGUCCUCAAUGUGUUGGAGUGUGAUGGUCCUCAAUGUGUUGGAGUGUGAUGGUCCUCAAUGUGUUGGAGUCAGUGGUCCUCAAUGUGUUGGAGUCAGUGGUCCUCAAUGUGUUGGAGUCAGUGGUCCUCAAUGUGUUGGAGUCAGUGGUCCUCAAUGUGUUGGAGUGUGGUGGUCCUCAAUGUGUUGGAGUCAGUGGUCCUCAAUGUGUUGGAGUGUGGUGGUCCUCAAUGUGUUAGAGUCAGUGGUCCUCAAUGUGUUGGAGUGUGGUGGUCCUCAAUGUGUUGGAGUCAGUGGUCCUCAAUGUGUUGGAGUCAGUGGUCCUCAAUGUGUUGGAGUGUGGUGGUCCUCAAUGUGUUGGAGUCAAUGGAUCUCAAUGUGUUGGGGUGUGGUGGUCCUCAAUGUGUUGGAGUCAGUGGAUCUCAAUGUGUUGGAGUCAGUGGUCCUCAAUGUGUUGGAGUCAGUGGUCCUCAAUGUGUUGGAGUGUGGUGGUCCUCAAUGUGUUGGAGUCAGUGGUCCUCAAUGUGUUGGAGUGUGGUGGUCCUCAAUGUGUUGGAGUCAGUGGAUAUCAAUGUGUUGGAGUCAGUGGUCCUCAAUGUGUUGGUGUGUGGUGGUCCUCAAUGUGUUUGAGUCAGGGAUGGUCCUCAAUGUGUUGGAGUCAGUGGUCCUCAAUGUGUUGGAGUCAGUGGUCCUCAAUGUGUUGGAGUCAGUGGUCCUCAAUGUGUUGGAGUCAGUGGUCCUCAAUGUGUUGGAGUGUGGUGGUCCUCAAUGUGUUGGAGUCAGUGGUCCUCAAUGUGUUGGAGUGUGGUGGUCCUCAAUGUGUUAGAGUCAGUGGUCCUCAAUGUGUUGGAGUGUGGUGGUCCUCAAUGUGUUGGAGUCAGUGGUCCUCAAUGUGUUGGAGUCAGUGGUCCUCAAUGUGUUGGAGUGUGGUGGUCCUCAAUGUGUUGGAGUUAGUGGUCCUCAAUGUGUUGGAGUCAAUGGAUCUCAAUGUGUUGGGGUGUGGUGGUCCUCAAUGUGUUGGAGUCAGUGGAUCUCAAUGUGUUGGAGUCAGUGGUCCUCAAUGUGUUGGAGUGUGGUGGUCCUCAAUGUGUUGGAGUGUGGUGGUCCUCAAUGUGUUGGAGUCAGUGGUCCUCAAUGUGUUGGAGUCAGUGGUCCUCAAUGUGUUGGAGUGUGGUGGUCCUCAAUGUGUUGGAGUCAGUGGUCCUCAAUGUGUUGGAGUGUGGUGGUCCUCAAUGUGUUGGAGUCAGUGGAUAUCAAUGUGUUGGAGUCAGUGGUCCUCAAUGUGUUGGUGUGUGGUGGUCCUCAAUGUGUUGGAGUCAGGGAUGGUCCUCAAUGUGUUGGAGUCAGUGGUCCUCAAUGUGUUGGAGUCAGGGAUGGUCCUCAAUGUGUUGGAGUCAGUGGUCCUCAAUGUGUUGGAGUCAGUGGUCCUCAAUGUGUUGGUGUCAGUGGUCCUCAAUGUGUUGGAGUCAGUGGUCCUCAAUGUGUUGGAGUCAGUGGUCCUCAAUGUGCUAGGGUGUGGUGGUCCUCAAUGUGUUGGAGUCAGUGGUCCUCAAUGUGUUGGAGUCAGUGGUCCUCAAUGUAUUGGAGUGUGGUGGUCCUCAAUGUGUUGGAGUCAGUGGUCCUCAAUGUGUUGGAGUGUGGUGGUCCUCAAUGUGUUGGAGUCAGUGGUCCUCAAUGUAUUGGAGUGUGGUGGUCCUCAAUGUGUUGGAGUCAGUGGUCUGCUCUAGUAGACUGUAUCUCACUGUAGUAGACUGUAUACUGUUUCUCACUGUAGUAGACUGCAUCACAGAGACGCUCAAUUACAUACAUGUUGUGAUGUUACAUACUACCACAGUUACAUACAUGUUGUGAUGUUACAUACUACUACAGUUACAUACAUGUUGUGAUGUUACAUACUACCACAGUUACAUACAUGAUGUUACAUACUACUACAUAAUACAGAAUACUACAGUUACAUACAUAAUGUGAUGUUACAUACUACCACAGUUACAUACAUGUUACAUACUACUACAGUUACAUACAUAAUGUGAUGUUACAUACUACUACAGUUACAUACAUGAUGUUACAUACUACCACAGUUACAUACAUGAUGUGAUGUUACAUACUACUACAGUUACAUACUACUACAGUUACAUACAUAAUGUGAUGUUACAUACUACCACAGUUACAUACAUGUUACAUACUACUACAGUUACAUACAUGAUGUGAUGUUACAUACUACUACAGUUAAAUACAUGAUGUUACAUACUACCACAGUUACAUACAUGAUGUUACAUACUACUACAGUUACAUACAUGAUGUUACAUACUACUACAGUUACAUACAUAAUGUGAUGUUACAUACUACCACAGUUACAUGCAUGGUGUUACAUACUAACUUAGUUACAUACAUAAUGUGAUGUUACAUACUACCACAGUUACAUACAUGUUGUGAUGUUACAUACUACUACAGUUACAUACAUGAUGUGAUGUUACUUAAUUCUACAGUUACAUACAUGUUACAUACUACUACAGUUACAUACCUGAUGUGAUGUUACAUACUACUACAGUUACAUACAUGUUGUGAUGUAACAUACAUGAUGUUACAUACUACUGCAUUUUCAUAGUUGAUGUGAUGUUACAUACAUGAUGUUACAUACUACCACAGUUACAUACAUAAUGUUACAUUCUACCACAGUUACAUACAUGUUGCAUACUACUAUAGUUACAUAUAUGAUGUUACAUACUACCACAGUUACAUACAUGAUGUUACAUACUACUACAGUUACAUACAUGAUGUUACAUACUAAUGCAUUUAUAUACAUGGUGUAAUGUUACAUUCUACCACAGUUACAUACUACCACAGUUACAUACAUGUUGCAUACUACCACAGUUACAUACAUGAUGUUACAUACUACUGAAUACUACUACAGCUACAGUUGAAGUCGGAAGAUUACAAACACUUAGAUUGGAGUCAUUAAAACUCGUUUUUCAACCACUCCACAAAUUUCUUGUUAACAAACUAUAGUUUUGGAAAGUUGGUUAGGACAUCUAGUUUGUGCCUGACACAAGUACAGACAGAUUAUUUCACUUUUAAUUCACCGUAUCACAAUUCCAGUGGGUCAGAAGUUUACAUACACUAAGUUGACUGUGCCUUUAAACAAAUUGGAAAAUUCCAGAAAAUUAUGUCAUGGCUUUAGAAGCUUCUGAUAGGCUAAUUGACAUCAUUCAAGUCAAUUGGAGGUGUACCUGUGGAUGUAUUUCAAGGUCUACCUUCAAACUCAGUGCGUCUUUGCUUGACAUCAUGGGAAAAUCAAAAAGAAAUCAGCCAAGACCUCAGAAAAAACAUUGUAGACCUCCACAAGUCUGGUUCAUUCUUGAGAACAAUUUCCAAAUGCCUGAAGGUACCACGUCGUGUUUAUACGUUCAAGUAUAAACACCAUGGAACCACGCAGCCGUCAUACCGCUCAGGAAGGAGACGCGUUCUGUCUCCUAAAGAUUAACAUAUUUUGGUGUGAAAAGUGCAAAUCAAUCCCAGGACAACAGCAAAGGACCUUGUGAAGAUGCUGGAGGAAACGGGUACAAAAGUAUCUACAUCCACAGUAAAAUAAGUCCUAUAUCGACAUUACCUGAAAGGCCGCUCAGCAAGGAAGAAGCCACUGCUCCAAAACCGCCAUAAAAAGCCAGGCUACGGUUAGAAACUGUACAUGGGGACAAAGAUCGUACUCUUUGGAGAAAUAUCCUCUGGUCUGAUGAAACAAAAAUAGAACUGUUUGCUGCAGUUUGCUGCUGGGUGCUUUUCUGUUUGGCCAUAAUGACCAUCGUUAUGUUUGGAGGAAAAGGGGGGAGGCUUGCAAGCCGAAGAACACCAUCCGAACCGUGAAGCACGGGGGUGGCAGCAUCAUGUUGUGGGGGUUCUUUGCUGCUGGAGGGACAGGUUCACUUCACAAAAUAGAUGGCACCAUGAGGCAGGAAAAUUAUGUGGAUACAUGGAAGCAACAUCUCAAGACAUCAGUCAGGAAGUUAACGCUUGAUAGCAAAUGGGUCUUCCAAAUGAACAAUGACACCAAGCAUAUUUCCAAAGUUGUGUCAAAAUGGCUUAUGCACAACAAAGUCAAGGUAUUGUAGUGGCCAUCACAAAGCCCUGCCCUCAAUCCCGUAGAAAAUUUGUGGGCAGAACUGAAAAACGGUGUGCGAGCAAGGAGGCCUACAAACCUGACUCAGUUACACCAGUUCUGUCAGGGGGAAUGGGCCAACAUUCACCCAACUUAUUGUGUGAAGCUUGUAGAAGGCUACACGAAACGUUUGACCCAAGUUAAACAAUGUAAAGGCAAUGCUACCAAAUAGUAAUUGAGUGUAUGUGAACUUCUGACCCACUGGGAAUGUGAUGAAAGAAGUAAAAGCUGAAAUAAUUCAUUCUCUCUACUAUUAUUCUGACAUUUCACAUUCUUAUAAUAAAGUGUUCAUCCUAACUGACCUGAGACGGGGAAUGUUUACUAGAUUUAAUGUAUUUGGCUAAGGUGUAUGUAAACUUCUAUCUUCAGCUGUACAUGUUACAUACAUGAUGUUACAUACUGCUACAGUUACAUGUUACAUACAUGAUGUUACAUACAUGAUGUUACAUACUACUACAGUAACAUGUUACAUACAUGAUGUUACAUACUGCUACAGUUACAUGUUACAUACAUGAUGUUACAUACAUGAUGUUACAUACUACUACAGUAACAUGUUACAUACAUGAUGUUACAUACUGCUACAGUUACAUGUUACAUACAUGAUGUUACAUACAUGAUGUUACAUACAACUACAGUAACAUGUUACAUACAUGAUGUUACAUACUGCUACAGUUACAUGUUACAUACAUGAUGUUACAUACAUGAUGUGACAUACUACUACAGUUACAUGUUACAUACAUGAUGUUACAUACAUGAUGUUACAUACUACUACAGUAACAUACAUGUUACAUACUACUACAGUUACAUACAUGAUGUUGCAUACUACUAGUUCCAUACAUUGUGAUGUUACAUACUACUACGGUUACAUACAUGAUGUUACAUACAUGAUGUGAUGUUACAUACUACUACAGUUGCAUACGUGAUGUUACAUACAUGUUGUGAUGUUACAUACUACUACAGUUACAUAUGUGAUGUUACAUACAUGAUGUGAUGUUACAUACUCCUACAGUUACAUACGUGAUGUUACAUACAUUAUGUGAUGUUAUAUACUACUACAGUUACAUACGUGAUGUUACAUACUACUACAGUUACAUACAUGUUACAUACAUGAUGUUACAUACAUGUUGUGAUGUUACAUACAUGAUGUGAUGUUACAUACUACUACAGUUACAUACGUGAUGUUACAUACAUGUUGUGAUGUUACAUACUACUAAAGUUACAUACAUGUUACAUACUACUACAGUUACAUACAUGAUGUUACAUACUACUACAGUUACAUACAUGUUACAUACGACUACAGUUACAUACUACUACAGUUACAUACAUUAUGUUACAUACUACUACAGUUACAUACAUGUUGUGAUGUUCCAUACUACUACAGUUACAUACAUGAUGUGAUGUUACAUACUACUACGGUUACAUACAUGAUGUUACAUACAUGAUGUGAUGUUACAUACUACUACAGUUGCAUACGUGAUGUUACAUACAUGUUGUGAUGUUACAUACUACUACAGUUACAUAUGUGAUGUUACAUACAUGAUGUGAUGUUACAUACUCCUACAGUUACAUACGUGAUGUUACAUACAUUAUGUGAUGUUACAUACUACUACAGUUACAUACGUGAUGUUACAUACUACUACAGUUACAUACAUGUUACAUACAUGAUGUUACAUACAUGUUGUGAUGUUACAUACAUGAUGUGAUGUUACAUACUACUACAGUUACAUACGUGAUGUUACUUACAUGUUGUGACGUUACAUACUACUAAAGUUACAUACAUGUUACAUACUACUACAGUUACAUACAUGAUGUUACAUACUACUACAGUUACAUACAUGUUACAUAUGACUACAGUUACAUACUACUACAGUUACAUACAUUAUGUUACAUACUACUACAGUUACAUACAUGUUGUGAUGUUCCAUACUACUACAGUUGCAUACGUGAUGUUACAUACAUGUUGUGAUGUUACAUACAUGAUGUGAUCUUACAUACUACUACAGUUACAUACGUGAUGUUACAUACGUGGUGUGAUGUUACAUACUACUACAGUUACAUACAUGUUACAUACUACUACAGUUACAUACAUGUUGUGAUGUUACAUACUACUACAGUUACAUACAUGACGUUACAUACUACUACAGUUACAUACAUGUUACAUACAUGAUGUUACAUACUACUACCGUUACAUACAUGUUGUGAUGUUACAUACUACUACAGUUACAUAUAUGUUACAUACUACUACAGUUACAUACAUGUUGUGAUGUUACAUACUACUACAGUUACACACAUGACGUUACAUACUACUACAGUUACAUACAUGUUACAUGCAUGAUGUUACAUACUACUACAGUUACAUACAUGUUACAUACAUGAUGUUACAUACUACUACAGUUACAUACAUGUUGUGAUGUUACAUACAUGAUGUGAUGUUACAUACAUGUUGUGAUGUUACAUACUACUACAGUAACAUACAUGUUGUGAUGUUACAUACAUGAUGUGAUGUUACAUACAUGAUGUGAUGUUACAUACAUGUUGUGAUGUUACAUACUACUACAGUUACAUACAUGAUGUGAUGUUACAUAAUUCUACAGUUACAUACAUGUUGUGAUGUUACAUACUACUACAGUUACAGGCAUAAUGUGAUGUUACAUACUACGACAGUUACUUACAUGAUGUUACAUGUAGGAAACCAAAGUUGUCAGUGAAUUAAAAAAGAUUUGUAUUGUU
This is a long non-coding RNA of Oncorhynchus masou masou (cherry salmon), 13191 nucleotides long. RefSeq lists it as uncharacterized. The record is from RefSeq and is a predicted model, not a curated record. Lineage: Eukaryota; Metazoa; Chordata; Actinopteri; Salmoniformes; Salmonidae. The transcript has 2 exons.